GUCAUAUCYYGCACAGCAGAACAACCCGAGAACCGGUUAACAACCACUUUGGAGACUGGGGCACGUCCUCUGCGCUCCCAAAUCCMGUCUCCGUGGGCAGCCCCCCCAUGGGGGGUCCAUGGAUUCGGGCAAUAACGAAACCCGGCACGGAAUGUGCCAAGGAAAUCGAAUAAGAGAAGCGCUGUCCCCCAGCCCCCGUUCGCGGGGUGUCUCGGGAUCACGCGCCAUCUUUUCUAUCAAUAUC
Molecule: unclassified non-coding RNA, 244 nt
Filed under: Clarkia lewisii
Lineage: Eukaryota; Viridiplantae; Streptophyta; Magnoliopsida; Myrtales; Onagraceae
Description: partial miscellaneous RNA
Source: RNAcentral